RNAcentral lists this ribosomal RNA (253 nucleotides) under uncultured bacterium. RNAcentral's name for it is "partial 16S ribosomal RNA". It matches the Rfam family "Bacterial small subunit ribosomal RNA", at positions 524 to 776 of the family's 1533-position model. The record is from RNAcentral.
UACGGAGGAUGCAAGCGUUAUCCGGAAUGAUUGGGCGUAAAGCGUCCGCAGGUGGCUGUGUAAGUCUGCUGUUAAAGAGUGAGGCUCAACCUCAUAAAAGCAGUGGAAACUACACGGCUAGAGUGCGUUCGGGGCAGAGGGAAUUCCUGGUGUAGCGGUGAAAUGCGUAGAUAUCAGGAAGAACACCGGUGGCGAAAGCGCUCUGCUAGGCCGCAACUGACACUGAGGGACGAAAGCUAGGGGAGCGAACGGG